ACUAGGCCUUUAAUAAGGGUCUUGAAUGAAUGAGUUGACGAUUUUUAAGCUGUCCUAGCUUUGGUUUUGGAAAUUUAUCUUUAAGUUAAAAAGCUUAACUCUCUAGAAAGACGAUAAGACCCUAUAAAGCUUUACUAAUAUAAUUAAUAGAGAGAGAAAGAUUUUGUAGAGUUAGUUUAGCUGGGGCGGCAAUAAAAAUUCUUUUAUAGAUUUAACAGAAUUUUUGAGGUGGUGUAUCUAAAAAGAGAUAGAAUAAGCUACUUUAGGGAUAACAGCGCAAUAUUUUUAAAGAGAUCUUAUCGAUAAAAAGGACUUGCGACCUCGAUGUUGAAUUGAGGGGCCUAAAUUAAGUAAAAAUAAUUUAAGG
This 367-nucleotide ribosomal RNA is filed under the name Mastigoniscus aff. latus 2 TR-2023a. RNAcentral describes it as "partial 16S ribosomal RNA". It matches the Rfam family "Archaeal large subunit ribosomal RNA", at positions 2044 to 2639 of the family's 2987-position model. Lineage: Eukaryota; Metazoa; Arthropoda; Malacostraca; Isopoda; Haploniscidae. The record is from RNAcentral.